This 301-nucleotide ribosomal RNA is filed under the name uncultured bacterium. RNAcentral's name for it is "partial 16S ribosomal RNA". It matches the Rfam family "Bacterial small subunit ribosomal RNA", at positions 509 to 807 of the family's 1533-position model. The record is from RNAcentral.
CAGUCGCCACGGUAAUACGUAGGGUCCGAGCGUUGUCCGGAAUUACUGGGCGUAAAGAGCUCGUAGGUGGUUUGUCGCGUUGUUCGUGAAAACUCACAGCUCAACUGUGGGCGUGCGGGCGACACGGGCAGACUAGAGUACUGCAGGGGAGACUGGAAUUCCUGGUGUAGCGGUGGAAUGCGCAGAUAUCAGGAGGAACACCGGUGGCGAAGGCGGGUCUCUGGGCAGUAACUGACGCUGAGGAGCGAAAGCGUGGGGAGCGAACAGGAUUAGAGACCCCGGUAGUCCCUGUCUCUUAUAC